GGCGACGACGGGUAGCCGGCCUGAGAGGGCGACCGGCCACACUGGGACUGAGACACGGCCCAGACUCCUACGGGAGGCAGCAGUGGGGAAUAUUGCACAAUGGGCGCAAGCCUGAUGCAGCGACGCCGCGUGAGGGAUGACGGCCUUCGGGUUGUAAACCUCUUUCACCAGGGACGAAGCGAAAGUGACGGUACCUGGAGAAGAAGCACCGGCCAACUACGUGCCAGCAGCCGCGGUAAUACGUAGGGUGCGAGCGUUGUCCGGAAUUACUGGGCGUAAAGAGUUCGUAGGCGGUUUGUCGCGUCGUUCGUGAAAACUUGGGGCUUAACUCCGAGCGUGCGGGCGAUACGGGCAGACUUGAGUACUACAGGGGAGACUGGAAUUCCUGGUGUAGCGGUGAAAUGCGCAGAUAUCAGGAGGAACACCGGUGGCGAAGGCGGGUCUCUGGGUAGUAACUGACGCUGAGGAACGAAAGCGUGGGUAGCGAACAGGAUUAGAUACCCUGGUAGUCCACGCUGUAAACGGUGGGUACUAGGUGUGGGUUCCUUUUCACGGGAUCCGUGCCGUAGCUAACGCAUUAAGUACCCCGCC
Molecule: ribosomal RNA, 591 nt
Filed under: Williamsia sp. Act-84
Lineage: Bacteria; Bacillati; Actinomycetota; Actinomycetes; Mycobacteriales; Nocardiaceae
Description: bacterial SSU rRNA
Rfam family: Bacterial small subunit ribosomal RNA
Source: RNAcentral